Long non-coding RNA from Pseudopipra pipra, 7067 nucleotides. RefSeq lists it as uncharacterized. The record is from RefSeq and is a predicted model, not a curated record. The transcript is spliced from 4 exons. NCBI's taxonomy places the organism in Eukaryota, Metazoa, Chordata, Aves, Passeriformes, Pipridae.
UUAUUCUGUCUCAGGCAGAAACAGCCUUUAUUUAGCAAACUGCUGCUAACAGCUCUGUCUCAUUAGUCAGUGUUUAGGGAACCAGGCUGCAAUUGUUCUGAAGUCUGGCAUUGCAGAAAGAGCCUUGAUAAUGAGGUCUACAGGAGACGAUUCCUCCUGACAGGCCCACAAUGACCUAGAAAUCCUACUUAAUUCCCUGUCAGAGAAAAGUGCUGAGUAACAGCAGAGGUGCAGAGGCUCUGGGGGCCGAGGGAGCUGCAGCCUCUGUUCACACUUCAGAGCUCUGGGGUGGCAAAGCCAGCCCUGCUGAGCUGCAGCAGCUCCCCAGAGAAAGCUCGUGGGGCAGAUAGGUUGGGUUUGCCUUGGGAAGGUUUGUAGCCUCACCUGUGAAAGACCUGGCACCACGCAGAGGGCAGGGAGCAGAAGUCCCUGAUAACACAACAGCAGCAGGCACUCGGAAAAGCCUGGCACCAGGCAGGGCUCCUUGGAAGAGCCCUCAACAGCAGCACCUGGAUGUGGGCUUCUCAGGGCACUAGGCACUGCCUCCUCUGGAUCUGCCUGCAGACUGUGCCAAAACCCUGCCAGAGAACUCCCUGACUCAAGCAGCUCAACUUUCACCUCUGUCCCUAGGUCUGUCACCUCUGUCCCUAGGUCUGGCGUGUCCAGGAGCUCACCAGCUCCACCUGCACAGCCACCACUGCUGCCAGCACAGACUGUGGAGAGUCCUACUGUGGAAGAACAUCUCCUGCCACAUCCUGUAGCUGCACAAGGGCUGUCUCCUCUCCCGAGGACGUGGGAUGCUCAGUGUGAGUGCCCCGGAGGCGGCGGUGAAUUUUGGACACAUUCUGCCCCAACCCCUUGCCCUUGCAGGAACACACAGCAGGCUGGCACAGGCUUGGGCAGCACAAACACCACUUUCAAGUGGUUUCUGUCUAACAAUCAGCGCGUGUUCAUGGUCAGGAACCUCUGGGCUGGGUGGCCCAGAGCCAGCUGGGCCAGAGGAUGAGGUGGAGGGACCCAGCAGGAAUGUGGGCAGGAUACAGCUGACCUUGAAGACCACCCCCAACACAGACCCUUACAGGCAUGUGCUUGCCACCUGUUUCAGCCAGCAGACAGGGGACUAAAGCAGGAAUUCUGGAACUGAAUGCACAGUCUGUUCAGGAGUGAUCUGAAGACUCCCACCCCCGUGAAGCUGAUGGGUGCUGUCCCCCAGCCCCCUGCCCAGGAAUGCAUCUCACGUGUGAGACUGCAAAUGCAGCCCUGUUUAAAGCACGGCUCAAACCUGCCAAAAAAAAGGAAUGUGGGAAUGAAAUCACCAGCCGAAACAGUGUCUAGAGACAAGCCAAGCCAAGUCCCUCGAGUGUCAGCACCAGAAGGAGGGCUCAGAAAUGGAGAACCCAGCUCCCUCUGCACCAGCUCUGCUGGCACACACAGAGGAUCUGCCUCAGAGACAUGAGGGAAAGACAUAUGCUGAGAAGGGAAGGACCAGCUUUAUUUUCCCAGCCUGUGUUCCCACCAGAGAUGUGCUUUCAAGACUGCCUUGCAAAGUAGGAAUUAAAUCCAAAGGUGCCUAUGCAUCUUCCUUGCUGUCAUCCCCUUAUCAGAUAUCUACAGCCUGCUCUGAGCCAGAAGAUGAAAGGAUCAUAACACCACUUAUCUUCCCACUUAAGAACAUGCUUAACAGCUUGCUCCUAAAGAGGAGGACACUCAAGGCUGGGGAAGCAGCUGUAAAUUCUGCAAAUGGGCUUCCUUGCAUUUUUUUGAAGGAGCUACUGCUUCUCAACGAGGGACACAGACACCAAAAGGAAGCUGGAAAGAGGGAAGCCUUUGUAGGAAGGAUAAGACUUUGCCUCACGUCCAGAACUUGAAGCUGAGUGGCAGAUGUGAGAUGUAUGGCAUGUGUGCCUCAGAAGUGACCGAGCAUGAGCCAGGAAUUGAGAAGCUCUUGGGAAAUAUGUAAGCAGCCAGAAUUAUGACAUAUUUGUCACUCCAAAACCAUGCUCUCCUCGGGACUGUGCAGUGUCACAGCCAAGAAGGAGAUCCCCUCGCAUGCUGCAGGCACAACUGCUGCAUGCAACCCAGCUCCAGCUCUACACAUCGAGGCCAGGACCUCUCCCCCAGAGCACCGUGUCUGAAUCUGACCCUCAUCUCCCCUCUUUGUAGAGCUACUUGUAAUCACGGUGAACCUGGGUCCAGCUUGCCUUUGUCAUUUAAUAGCUGAGUCAAACUGUCAAAACAGCCAAACAGGAUCUGUUCCAAAUAUUUGCAGAGAGAGGAGGAUCAAGGAGCCUGCAGCAGAACACCAGGAGCCUGCCCAAGGGAGAAGGACAAUCCCUAUUGUGGACCAACAGCGGGAUGCUCGUGGCGACCAUGACGCCUUGGCACCGUGUGGGGAAAGAGCCCCCAAAUCCUCCCAUGCUCAUGCAGCACCACAAAUAAACUGGAAUCUGGAGUCCCCUCUGUCCCCUGGCAAGGCCCCAGUGCUCCAGCCCCUCAGACUGAUCAGCCCUGGUCAGAGCUCAGCUGUUGGCUUGGGGAACUCAAGGAGCAGUUGGCAACUGAGAAAGGGGGGUCCCCGGGUGCCUCAGAAGCUGCUGCCAGCCCCAGCACAGACUUCAAAGGGCUUAUCUUGCCCUGUGGUGUGGGAGAGCACGUGGUGCCCGUGGGUGAGGACAGCUGUGUGUUGGCCAGGCCCAACAGAGGAUUCCUGAUGGAAGAGGAGAGAUGUUAGUACCUGGUUUAACCUCCCCUCCAGCAUGCACGAGGCAGCUUUGGCAGCAGAGCUCCACGCUGCCCUGCUAUUUAUGGGAUGUUGAAAAGUGGCCAAAAUAAAGGGAAAACACCAGCUCCAUAAGGAUGCUUACCAACUCAAACAGCCAGUUCUGCUCGAGGGAGAGCCCAUGAGGCUCAGGAGGUGAUUACAAGGCACUCUGCCUUUCAUCUCCACAUCGCCAGUUCAAAGGCAACCCCAUCAACCCUGACCAGGCUGUAGCCAACUAAGAGCUGUUUGCUCCUGCACAAGACAGGAGAUAAGCCACUGCUCCCCGAGAAACCAGCCCAGCCCCAUCGAUGUGCAACCUCAGCAGAGCAGCCAAGGCCAAAGAGGGAGGGAAACCAGCACCUCCUCUGCUGCAGGAGCCUCUCCAUCAACGGGGAGAUCCAUGGUGGGUGAAGCCAACCUGCUUCAUGGCACGUGUGUCCAGUCCUGCCAGCAAAGCACAGAGCAGUCACUCCACCACAGGGUUAUGUUUUACUCCUCCCACCUUGGCUGUUGGUAUCUGAACACCUCAACAACCCACUCUUCCAAGGACCAGGGACUCCCACAGGCUGGGGAAGCCAGGGCUGGUCCAGAGGUCCAGAGCACAGAGCUGGGACUUCCCUUUCUAAGAUGCCCUCACUACUACAGAGAGGAUGUUUUCCAGGCUCUAAAAAUAACCAACCCCAAACAACGUGGUGGGUUUUGAAUAAAUAUUUAUCUUUGAGCUUCUGCAGAGAUCAAUACAGAAGAAUAAGAUUAAAGCAAAGAUUUAAAUGUGUAUUAAAAAUAGCUGCUGCUAAGUUCCUUCGAGGGGAUAAAAGCUAUUUCACAGAAGCAGCAAGAGCUGCAGGACUUUGCAACACCUUCCCUGCUGUGAAGGCUCCCGGAAAUCAUUCAGUAGAGUGUUAGCAGCCAGAGCCUUGGGAGGAAGUCCAUUAGCAGGCAACAAUCUCCUUAAUGGACCCUGGGGUCCGUGGAAGAGCUGCUGUGGACACUGGGGUUCUUUCCACUGCUGUGAUUCAAGCUCACUCAGCCAUUACCAUCCCACACUCCAAGGAAUGCUGCUCAUCUUUAUGGCAGCCCAGCAGCACCAUGAAUUAAUCUUCUGGGGAGCUUUCAGUGAGUGAGGACACAAAUUGGUACAGAGUUUUGGCUUUUUCUUUUAUUUUCUUUUUUGGCAGCACCCAGCAAACAGCCCCGUGUGCAGAAACCACACGUGCUGCUGUAAUGCAGGGAACAGCAGCAACAUCCAUUAAACCCGUGUUUUUUUCAAGGAUAACAUCCCAGCAAAACAGAAAUACUGUCUCCGUGGGUGCUUUUGGGCUGAAAGAUCAAGCAGAGCCUCGUACAUUCACAUGCAGACAAAAUCAUUAAGUCCUCUGCUGUGCAACCACCUCCACUCGAGGUCUCAGAGAACACCGGAGCCACCCCGGAGAGAUGAGAAGUGGCAGGAACCUUUCUGCUGGGAAUAAAAAGCAGGACUGCUGUGCUGAGCACUAUUUCUCUGUUAAAAGGUAAUGCCAGCCCAGUGUUGACUGGACUCCCAUUUGACAGCUCUCAGCAGUUUACAGGAAGCUGCUUGACCUCUAAAACGAGAAGCAAAAGCUUGUGAGGAGCUGAUUAUCCCUGAGACCAACAUUCUGGUGAAGUCCAUGGAGUGCUGUCCUGUUCCCCACAGAUGUAUUUUGACAAAGACUCUUGAGGACUCAGGAUCCUGUUGGCCUGUGGAAAUCUUUCCCCUUGCUAACUCCCUCCCACCACUUCAGGCUGGCUCAGUGAGGAGUUCACGAACCUUCUCCGGAUCAUCAGGGCUUGAUGCAAUCAACUGUGAAGCAUUAGCUCUAAAUAUACAACUGGGAGGCCAGUUCUGCUUCAACACACAAACACCCAUGGCAGAGGAUGAGAAAGCAGCCAGCCCAAUUUGCAAGAGAAACUUAAAUAAUAAUCCAAGCAAGCUGCAAGGAAAGCAGGAGCAAGUGGGGGCUAAUCAUUGCUUUGCUCUUUGGAGAUGACUAAAGCUAGGGGCAAACUGGCACAGCCCUCAAGUAGAGCAGCUUUUGCCCUUGUUUGUGGAGCCAAAUGUAGCGGCUCAUUCCACUUUGUUUACUUGUUUAGGUGAUUUUUUGGCAGCUCAACGCGUGUCCCUGGUGCAAAUCCUCAGUGUGAGGACAGAUAACUGAAAAACAGCUGCAGCAGGGCCAAGAGACCCAGAAUUCAACUUGUACAGUGAAAACAAACAGUAAAAGAACCCAAGUUCACGAGCAGAGCAACAUCUCAGUCCACAGCUCUUUCUCCUCAUUAAAGAAAACACAUUUUACUCUCUGAACCUGCUUCAACCAAGUAAUUGUCAGAAGUUUUCAGGGCAAGAGGGAAUGUGCUGGUGUCACGUUCUUUUGUCAACAGCUGUAAAGGAGAUGUGCAUCCAACUACUCUUUGGUGGCCAUGCCAGAUACUGCUUACCCAAAUAGGAACACCAAGCCCUUCCCAGGAAUUUUUUUGAAGAUGUUAUUAAGCAUCUGAUUUUGGCAGGGCUCUCAAAGCUAUUUGUCCCGAUUUUUUUUACUGCCUGUUGAAAAGAAAGCAAUACUGCGAAUACUUCCCAUCAGAAAAUACCAACAAGCAACUUAUCAUCACUGCAAGAGAGCUAACAACAUUUCCAGUGAGUGAUUCUUGGCACUGACAGCUGACUCGGAACAGUUGUUGGUGGCUGGGACAGAUGGACUUCAUAUAUUAAAAAAAAAUAAAAAAAAAAAUAAGAAGGAAAUGAGAACUUCUACUCCAUAGAUUUUAAAAAGCCUUUUGCAAAAUCCAACAUAUUACUGAACCCUCAGAAUUAAAUCGAAAGGAGAUUUGAACAUAAUGAGCUUUAAAACUGAAAUGUGCCCGGGACUUGCCAGAUCGCCCCAUCGAGGGCUAUAAAGUAUCAGCAUGUUUUGUUUUCAAUAGGAAAUACUUGGGGGUUUGGGGAAGGUCUCCACAGCCCGUGAAAAUCCUCAAAAUCCCAAUAUUUGUUUCCACAGGGAAGGUGGCAACAGGAGACCUCAAGGUAGGAGGCAGCACUGGUAUCAGCUGUGAGCCCCACUUUCCAUCGCUGCCUCCGAGAGCUUCCUCUGGUUUCAUUAUGACCAUGGCAUUUCCCUGAUGUGCAGAAUCUUUAGAUGCUUUUAGUGCCUAGAGCUGGGAAUGGACUGGAUGCUCCACGCUUCACUGGUUCCCAUUUUAUGGCAAUGUUUUAAGGCCACUAUCAAGAAGAGGGUUUGUUCUGGCAAUAACACACAGGAGGAGGCAACCCCAGCUCACAACACUUGGAGUCAAAGCAGCAGCUCAGAGUCUAGAGCAGGUCAGAGUUUGACAGCUUGGGAUCUCAGCAUCUUGUGAGCUUUGUCUGCUUCUGUUUAUGCCUUUUUUUUUUCCCCCACCAAGUAGCCAGUUGGCACAAACACAUCCUUGCAGUCACACUCCCAUCCCACUAUCCAGCACCAGCCCUGCAGUCUCCAGUACAUAUUUAAUUUUACACACUGCUGAGAGUGUAACCCUGACUUAAUGGGGCGCCCUCGGCACCUCAAGUCAAGUGUAGUGGAACACACUUUUUUAUUCUCAGCCUCACUUUUGCCCACUCUUUGGGACUUUUGAGCCCAAAUUUAAAAAUUACUGGAAAUCAGUAAAGGAUGAGGCACUUUGAUUUGGCCAUAACCCUUUGAAUUUGAUGGAAAGCAAAUCCUGUCACCACUUGGUUUACUCACCAGAUAAAUGUUUUCAGGCAGAGGUGUGAAACUAGUGGUGUUUGGCUGUUUUGCAGCAACUAUUGUCUCUCUAAAGAAAUGUAGAAAUAUCUGUAGUUUGUUUCCAGGAUUCAAGGAAAGUUUCUAGGCUGGAUUCAACAGGACACUUGAGCGUAACAGAGGAAGGAAACGGGGCACCUUUCUACCCUGCAGCUGUGAGGAAAAGCUGUGCCAAGUCUGUCGUUUUUCCCACUCAAAGGGAGAAGCUGAAUCCCGAGUCAGCACCUGGAGAGAACUGUGUGAUGCUCCGGGAUCAGGCACUCCCGACUUUUCCUGCUGAAACUGCUUCUGCUACAAACCACAGCAAAGCAAAUGAACACCAGACCCUGGGGCGCGUGACAACCAUCCCCUCACUGCAGAUGAGUGUCACAGUCAUCUCCUCACCCCUCCACCGACUGUUUUGGGGAAUAGUGCCCAAACCUCACUUUAUUUGAGGCCCAGAGAGGCUCUGUUUGGCGUCACUGGAGAAUUGUUUUUUGUCCUCAGAUAAACUGUUUGAAAUAUUUCAAUACACUUCAGCCUUGAGU